UAGUUGCAAGGUAUAGACCCGAAACCCGGUGAUCUAGCCAUGGGCAGGUUGAAGGUUGGGUAACACUAACUGGAGGACCGAACCGACUAAUGUUGAAAAAUUAGCGGAUGACUUGUGGCUGGGGGUGAAAGGCCAAUCAAACCGGGAGAUAGCUGGUUCUCCCCGAAAGCUAUUUAGGUAGCGCCUCGUGAACUCAUCUUCGGGGGUAGAGCACUGUUUCGGCUAGGGGGCCAUCCCGGCUUACCAAACCGAUGCAAACUCCGAAUACCGAAGAAUGUUAUCACGGGAGACACACGGCGGGUGCUAACGUCCGUCGUGAAGAGGGAAACAACCCAGACCGCCAGCUAAGGUCCCAAAGUCAUGGUUAAGUGGGAAACGAUGUGGGAAGGCAUAGACAGCCAGGAUGUUGGCUUAGAAGCAGCCAUCAUUUAAAGAAAGCGUAAUAGCUCACUGGUCGAGUCGGCCUGCGCGGAAGAUGUAACGGGGCUAAACCAUGCACCGAAGCUGCGGCAGCGACGCUUAGGCGUUGUUGGGUAGGGGAGCGUUCUGUAAGCCGUUGAAGGUGGCCUGUGAGGGUUGCUGGAGGUAUCAGAAGUGCGAAUGCUGACAUAAGUAACGAUAAAGCGGGUGAAAAGCCCGCUCGCCGGAAGACCAAGGGUUCCUGUCCAACGUUAAUCGGGGCAGGGUGAGUCGACCCCUAAGGCGAGGCUGAAAAGCGUAGUCGAUGGGAAACAGGUUAAUAUUCCUGUACUCGGUGUUGCUGCGAAGGGGGGACGGAGAAGGCUAGGCUAGCCGGGCGACGGUUGUCCCGGUUUAAGCGUGUAGGGGGGUGUUCCUGGUAAAUCCGGAACGCUGUCAACCCUGAGGCGUGAUGACGAUGCACUACGGUGCAGAAGUAGUUGAUGCCAAGCUUCCAGGAAAAGCCUCUAAGCAUCAGGUAACACAGAAUCGUACCCCAAACCGACACAGGUGGUCAGGUAGAGAAUACCAAGGCGCUUGAGAGAACUCGGGUGAAGGAACUAGGCAAAAUGGUGCCGUAACUUCGGGAGAAGGCACGCUGGCGCGUAGGUGAAGUCCCUCGCGGAUGGAGCUGAAGCCAGUCGCAGAUACCAGCUGGCUGCAACUGUUUAAUAAAAACACAGCACUGUGCAAACACGAAAGUGGACGUAUACGGUGUGACGCCUGCCCGGUGCUGGAAGGUUAAUUGAUGGGGUCAGCCGCAAGGCGAAGCUCUUGAUCGAAGCCCCAGUAAACGGCGGCCGUAACUAUAACGGUCCUAAGGUAGCGAAAUUCCUUGUCGGGUAAGUUCCGACCUGCACGAAUGGCGUAAUGAUGGCCAGGCUGUCUCCACCCGAGACUCAGUGAAAUUGAACUCGCUGUGAAGAUGCAGUGUACCCGCGGCAAGACGGAAAGACCCCGUGAACCUUUACUAUAGCUUGACACUGAACAUUGAGCCUUGAUGUGUAGGAUAGGUGGGAGGCUUUGAAGCGUGGACGCCAGUCUGCGUGGAGCCAACCUUGAAAUACCACCCUUUAAUGUUUGAUGUUCUAACUCGGCCCCAUAAUCUGGGGUGAGGACAGUGUCUGGUGGGUAGUUUGACUGGGGCGGUCUCCUCCCAAAGAGUAACGGAGGAGCACGAAGGUUAGCUAAUCACGGUCGGACAUCGUGAGGUUAGUGCAAAGGCAUAAGCUAGCUUGACUGCGAGAGUGACGGCUCGAGCAGGUACGAAAGUAGGUCUUAGUGAUCCGGUGGUUCUGAAUGGAAGGGCCAUCGCUCAACGGAUAAAAGGUACUCCGGGGAUAACAGGCUGAUACCGCCCAAGAGUUCAUAUCGACGGCGGUGUUUGGCACCUCGAUGUCGGCUCAUCACAUCCUGGGGCUGAAGUAGGUCCCAAGGGUAUGGCUGUUCGCCAUUUAAAGUGGUACGCGAGCUGGGUUUAGAACGUCGUGAGACAGUUCGGUCCCUAUCUGCCGUGGGCGUUGGAAGAUUGAGAGGGGUUGCUCCUAGUACGAGAGGACCGGAGUGAACGCACCACUGGUGUUCGGGUUGUCAUGCCAAUGGCACUGCCCGGUAGCUAAGUGCGGAAAAGAUAAGCGCUGAAAGCAUCUAAGCGCGAAACUUGCCUCGAGAUGAGUCUUCCCUGGACCUUUAAGGUCCCUGAAGGAACGUUUAAGACUAAGACGUUGAUAGGCUGGGUGUGUAAGUGCAGCGAUGUAUUGAGCUAACCAGUACUAAUGAUCCGUGAGGCUUAACCUU
This 2256-nucleotide ribosomal RNA is filed under the name Serratia ficaria. RNAcentral's name for it is "23S ribosomal RNA". It matches the Rfam family "Bacterial large subunit ribosomal RNA", at positions 697 to 2925 of the family's 2925-position model. The record is from RNAcentral. Lineage: Bacteria; Pseudomonadati; Pseudomonadota; Gammaproteobacteria; Enterobacterales; Yersiniaceae.